RNAcentral lists this ribosomal RNA (404 nucleotides) under uncultured eukaryote. RNAcentral's name for it is "SSU rRNA". It matches the Rfam family "Eukaryotic small subunit ribosomal RNA", at positions 331 to 738 of the family's 1831-position model. The record is from RNAcentral.
GUGUAUUGGACUACCAUGGCAAUCACGGGUAACGGAGAAUUAGGGUUCGAUUCCGGAGAGGGGAGCCUGAGAAACGGCUACCACACCUACGGGGAGGCAGCAGGGACGAAAAAUUGCCCAAUCCUGAUUCAGGGAGGCAGUGACAAGAAAUAACAACUCCCUAACUUUGUUGGGAAGUGUAAUGAGGAUAAUUUACAAACCUUACCGAAAGCAAUUGGAGGACAAGUCUGGUGCCAGCACCCGCGGUAAUUCCAGCUCCAAAAGCGUAUAUUAAAGUUGUUGCAGUUAAAAAGCUCGUAGUUGAAAUUCUGGCUGUAUUGGGCCUUUGCUUUCAUGCGAAGGACCAGCAGUCAUCCGCUUGCAAGUACAUGCUCUUCCUUAACCGGUAGACUGUAUAAGUAAGC